Molecule: ribosomal RNA, 800 nt
Filed under: uncultured bacterium
Lineage: Bacteria
Description: bacterial SSU rRNA
Rfam family: Bacterial small subunit ribosomal RNA
Source: RNAcentral
GGCGAGCGGCGGACGGGUGAGUAAUGCCUAGGAAUCUGCCUGGUAGUGGGGGAUAACUCGGGGAAACUCGAGCUAAUACCGCAUACGUCCUACGGGAGAAAGCGGGGGAUCUUCGGACCUCGCGCUACCAGAUGAGCCUAGGUCGGAUUAGCUAGUUGGUGAGGUAAAGGCUCACCAAGGCGACGAUCCGUAGCUGGUCUGAGAGGACGAUCAGCCACACUGGAACUGAGACACGGUCCAGACUCCUACGGGAGGCAGCAGUGGGGAAUAUUGGACAAUGGGCGAAAGCCUGAUCCAGCCAUGCCGCGUGUGUGAAGAAGGUCUUCGGAUUGUAAAGCACUUUAAGUUGGGAGGAAGGGCAGUAAGCUAAUACCUUGCUGUUUUGACGUUACCGACAGAAUAAGCACCGGCUAACUUCGUGCCAGCAGCCGCGGUAAUACGAAGGGUGCAAGCGUUAAUCGGAAUUACUGGGCGUAAAGCGCGCGUAGGUGGUUUGAUAAGUUGGAUGUGAAAGCCCCGGGCUCAACCUGGGAAUUGCAUCCAAAACUGUCUGGCUAGAGUAUGGCAGAGGGUGGUGGAAUUUCCUGUGUAGCGGUGAAAUGCGUAGAUAUAGGAAGGAACACCAGUGGCGAAGGCGACCACCUGGGCUAAUACUGACACUGAGGUGCGAAAGCGUGCGGAGCAAACAGGAUUAGAUACCCUGGUAGUCCACGCCGUAAACGAUGUCGACUAGCCGUUGGGAUCCUUGAGAUCUUAGUGGCGCAGCUAACGCAUUAAGUCGACCGCCUGGGGAGUACGGC